GCCAGGUAUGGUGGCUCAUGCCUGUAAUCCCAGCACUCUGGGAGGCUGAGGCGGGUGGAUCACUUGAGGUCAGGAGUUCUAGACCAGCCUGGCCAACACGGUGAAACCCUGUCUCUA
Molecule: unclassified non-coding RNA, 117 nt
Organism: Pongo abelii (Sumatran orangutan)
Lineage: Eukaryota; Metazoa; Chordata; Mammalia; Primates; Hominidae
Rfam family: Metazoan signal recognition particle RNA
About the family: The signal recognition particle (SRP) is a universally conserved ribonucleoprotein. It is involved in the co-translational targeting of proteins to membranes. The eukaryotic SRP consists of a 300-nucleotide 7S RNA and six proteins: SRPs 72, 68, 54, 19, 14, and 9.
Source: Ensembl